This 327-nucleotide unclassified non-coding RNA is filed under the name Sulfitobacter brevis. RNAcentral's name for it is "Long range pseudoknot". Lineage: Bacteria; Pseudomonadati; Pseudomonadota; Alphaproteobacteria; Rhodobacterales; Roseobacteraceae. The record is from RNAcentral.
ACCAACGAUUACGAAGUCAAAAUGCGUAACGUGUUCAAAUUUCUGGAAAAUGGCGACAAGGUGAAGGUCACCCUGCGUUUCCGUGGCCGCGAAAUGGCGCACCAGAAUUUGGGGCGCGAACUGCUUGAGCGGGUUGCCGAAGAUACCAAAGAGCAUGGUCGGGUAGAGAACUUUCCCAAGAUGGAAGGCCGCCAGAUGGUGAUGUUGAUCGGCCCGAUGCCGAACAAAUAACGCCUCCCCUAUUGAUACAAGAAACCGCCCCCGACAUUGUUGGGGGCGGUUUUUUUAUGUCUUGGGAUACGCAGCCCUUGCGGAGCAUCCCACGAA